CACAAAAGGAAGGUUGGGAUUGAUUUUGGGAGUUUUGGUCCCAACAGUUUAGGAAUUAGGGGCCAAAAAGGGGCCCAAAUAAGCAUUAUUCUUGGUUUUCGCACCAUAACUUUAGUAUUAGUAAAUAGAAAUCUAUGAAAUUUAAACACAAGGUUUAUGACCAUUUUAGGAAGGUUGGGUUUGAUUUUGGGAGGUUUGGUCCCAACAGUUUAGGAACGAGGGGCCCAAAGGGUCCAAAAUUGAACUUUGUUUGAUUUCAUCAAAAAUUGAAUAAUUGGGGUUCUUUGAUAUGCCGAAUCUAACUGUGUAUGUAGAUUCUUAAUUUUUGGUCCCGUUUUCAAAUUGGUCUACAUUAAGGUCCAAAGGGUCCAAAAUUAAACUUAGUUUGAUUUUAACAAAAAAUGAAUCCUUGGGAUUCUUUGAUAUGCUGAAUCUAAAAAUGUACUUAGAUUUUUGAUUAUUGGCCCAGUUUUCAAGUUGGUCCAAAUCGGGGUCCAAAAUUAAACUUUGUUUGAUUUCAUCAAAAAUUGAAUAAUUGGGGUUCUUUGGUAUGCCAAAUCUAACUGUGUAUGUAGAUUCUUAAUUUUUGGUCCCGUUUUCAAAUUGGGCUACAUUAAGGUCCAAAGGGUCCAAAAUUAAACUAAGUUUGAUUUUAACAAAAAAUGAAUUCUUCGGCUUUUUUGAUAUGCUGAAUCUAAACAUAUACUUAGAUUUUUGAUUAUG
This 723-nucleotide long non-coding RNA is filed under the name Mytilus galloprovincialis (Mediterranean mussel). The record is from RNAcentral. Lineage: Eukaryota; Metazoa; Mollusca; Bivalvia; Mytilida; Mytilidae.